Molecule: transfer RNA, 73 nt
Filed under: Flavobacterium sp. SUN052
Lineage: Bacteria; Pseudomonadati; Bacteroidota; Flavobacteriia; Flavobacteriales; Flavobacteriaceae
Description: tRNA-Gln
Rfam family: tRNA
About the family: Transfer RNA (tRNA) molecules are approximately 80 nucleotides in length.
Source: RNAcentral
UGAUUUAUGAUGUAAUUGGUUAGCAUAAGAGUCUUUGAAGCUCUCUGUUCAGGUUCGAGUCCUGAUGAAUCAA